UUCCUCUCAGAAAUUCUUGAACAUGGAAUCAGAUGAAAGGCCUUUCAGAGUAAGCAAGAAAGGAAUGAAUAAAACGUGACUAAUCAGAAGGACGGAAAUGGCCCUUUAUUAAAAAGGAGUACAGAACAGACACCUCAAGUGUUUUCAGUAAGGACUGCAUGAAGUGAAGUAACAACCCUGAAGUUCCUGGGGCUAAGGUGGCUGCACAGGGAAAAUGCUUACAUGCGCCCAUGGGUACAGUAACUGAUGGAUCACUGAGAGGACGUCAGAUGGACAGAUCUGUUAAUAAGGAUGUCUGGACGGUCCAUGAGGAUGUUUGUUGCACUAUCUGGUGGAGUUGUGUAAGCAUCUGUGUUUCUCUAAAUAUCUCAGUUGUUUUCUCCAGGAUUUGAACUCUGCCAUUUCCUACAACUG
This 414-nucleotide long non-coding RNA is filed under the name Zonotrichia albicollis (white-throated sparrow). RNAcentral's name for it is "lncRNA (ENSZALG00000010888.1)". The record is from RNAcentral. Lineage: Eukaryota; Metazoa; Chordata; Aves; Passeriformes; Passerellidae.